GUUUGUUCAUCGGUCACAAAUCAAAAGAUUUCUAAAUCACGAUUUAUUUACUGUUCACAAAUUAUAGAUAUUACAAGUCACAUCUUAUUAUACAGUCACAAAUUAUCAAAUUAUCGAUCACAGGUUAACAAUUUUUUAGGUCAUACAUUAUUUUCGGUCACAAUUUAUCUUUUUCAUUGGCCACAUAUUAUUUAUUGGUCAUAGAUUAAUCAAUUUAAUGGUCACAGUCAACCAAAUAAUUUGUGACCACCACCAACACUUACGAUUCACAAUUUUUAGAUCACGUAUCCAAUUGUGAGUCACAGACACAAUUUUCAGGUCACGUAUCCAAUUGAGAGUCACGGUUAUAGUUACAAUUUUCAUCGCCACCACGGUGACGACCACACACCAACACCACAGUUGGAAUUCAUAGUCACAGUCCACAACCACCACAAUCGCCCCAAAUUAUCGCCGCCACGCACCAUGGUCACAAGCAUCCAAUCCCAUCUUAUCCCAUCCACGACCACCCCCUCAACCAUCUCUAUCACCAUUACCGCCACCACCACAAUAGAGCCUUUGCCAACAGAGUCACCACCACCUCAAGACAACCAAUCAACACCACAGCACACCAACAGACUCACCACCACAACAGAGCACUUUCGCCACAUCAACCACCACUACCUUACGACAAAAUCGAUCAAGCCCAACAGAUCAACAGAUUAACAACCACAACAGACCAACGCCGUCACCAGAACAGCCACCACUGAACAGAGCCACCAACAACACAACAGAGUCAUCGCCACCACCACCAGAUCUAAGCCGUAGCCACCACCACCAAAUCUAAGACUUCACAAAAAACUAUCAUAGCCACCACCACCACUAUCCAUUUAGACAGCUCAGAUUCGCCACCACCACGCAACCACCACACCACACCACAUCCACCACCAAACACCAUCCACAAAAAAAUCGCAAAAUCACUAGGGGAUGAGCACAGGGCCACCUGCAAUUGCUGCAACAACUCCGAAUACAAUAGCGCUGUCGUUGCCCCGGUGUGGACGUUGCUUCUAUGACUUCUCACGGUGCUACUGUUGUGGCUUCCGAUGGUGGGUUUUCUCACAGGUGCUUCUCACGGCGGCGAUAGACAGAGAGAAUGGAUAUUGCGAAUAGGGGGAAAUGAAAUAUAAUUUAGGGUAGAGUUUGAGUUGGAAUGGGGUUGUGGUGGAGACGUGGAGUUGUAAUACAAUUUAUUUUUU
This 1232-nucleotide long non-coding RNA is filed under the name Olea europaea (common olive). RNAcentral describes it as "long non-coding RNA (OEUR_LNC003534)". Lineage: Eukaryota; Viridiplantae; Streptophyta; Magnoliopsida; Lamiales; Oleaceae. The record is from RNAcentral.